RNAcentral lists this ribosomal RNA (253 nucleotides) under uncultured bacterium. Its description in RNAcentral is "partial 16S ribosomal RNA". It matches the Rfam family "Bacterial small subunit ribosomal RNA", at positions 524 to 776 of the family's 1533-position model. The record is from RNAcentral.
UACGUAGGGGGCAAGCGUUGUCCGGAUUUAUUGGGCGUAAAGAGCGUGUAGGCGGCUAGGUAGGUCCGUUGUUAAAACUCGAGGCUCAACCUCGAGACGCCGGUGGAAACCAUCUAGCUAGAGUCCGGAAGAGGAGAGUGGAAUUCCCGGUGUAGCGGUGAAAUGCGCAGAUAUCAGGAAGAACACCUAUGGCGAAGGCAGCUCUCUGGGACGGUACUGACGCUGAGACGCGAAAGCGUGGGGAGCGAACAGG